RNAcentral lists this long non-coding RNA (1211 nucleotides) under Monodelphis domestica (gray short-tailed opossum). Its description in RNAcentral is "lncRNA (ENSMODG00000036871.1)". The record is from RNAcentral. Lineage: Eukaryota; Metazoa; Chordata; Mammalia; Didelphimorphia; Didelphidae.
GUUUUAACUGGCUUUAACUGGUUUUGUUUAGUUUAAACUGGUUUUUUACUGGUUUCUGAAAGGCUUUUUGGAAAAGUUGAUAAAUAUAUGGUAUAUAUUAUAAUUAGUCCAAUUGACUUCCAUAUUGCUUUUCUAUUUUUUAACUUUUUCUCUUAAUUUUAUUUUAGAAACCUCAAGUUCAAUUAAAAAUCAACUAAGAUAGCCAGAACAACAGCCAGAGAGAGAGAAAGAGAAAGGAAGAAAAUAGAACAACCCAUCAUUUCAAGGCCAGUCCAGUCCUGCCCCAACUUCCUCAGGGUGAAACAUUUAUAAACGUGAGGUAUAAAGUCUGGGUGAAUUAGAGAAAGGGAUAGGGGAAAAGAAAGACAUUCCUCCUCCCAUAGCAGUCUAUGGGGGUGAGGAGAGGAAGGCAUUUAACAAGAAGACUCUGCAUUUAUGCCAUCAACCCCAUCCUGGAAUGCAGGAUGUGAAUAGAAGAUGUAGUGGGAAGGGGUGACAAUGAGGCACCUACUUCCCUGGAAUCUCUUUGGGGACUGUGUAGGGAAGAAGGUAUUCUGGAUGCUAGGGACCCCAUAGGCAGAUGGGGUACAAGGAAUUAACAGAAAGAAAAGAGGUUAGAGAAGCUGAGGGGUCACAGAGAGUUGGGAGCUCAGCCAAGAAACCCAUCAAGGUCAUCAUCUUCAAAGUGGCCCUGCUAAAAGACCUUGAUGUUGUCCUCAUUAGAUUUUGAGGACUGACCCUAAAUGGAUAAUGAGGAUAGUUAGCACAUCAAUGCCUUACAUCAGCAGAAGAGACUUCCCUGUCAAUUUCACUUAAAGAAGUAUUUAUAUUACUAAUGAAAUCUCACUAAUCUUCAAAAUACUAAAAUCUAAAAAUAUAAAUUUUCAAUUAAUUUUUCAGCUACAAACCACAUGAAAGAUGACUUUCCUUUUAAUUCUCGAAAAUUUCCUUUUGAUAAUUUUAAUAACUGGGGCUUAAAUCCAAAACAUAACAGAGAAAUUCUCAGGACUUGUAUGUUCCAGAUCCUAUUUGAAAGGAAAACAUUAUACACAUAUGGUAGUAUUGGAAAAGCAUUGAACUUGUGAGAAGACCUGGAUUCAAAUUCACACUUUCACUUACCACCUACAAGACUCUGAGCAAAUCAUUUCCUCCUUCUGAGUCUGUCAUCCUUUGAAAAUAAAUAAGUUGACCGGAGCCUUCCUAUGAUAUUU